This 602-nucleotide ribosomal RNA is filed under the name uncultured bacterium. Its description in RNAcentral is "bacterial SSU rRNA". It matches the Rfam family "Bacterial small subunit ribosomal RNA", at positions 60 to 657 of the family's 1533-position model. The record is from RNAcentral.
AGUCGAGCGGUAGAGAGAAGCUUGCUUCUCUUGAGAGCGGCGGACGGGUGAGUAAUGCCUAGGAAUCUGCCUGGUAGUGGGGGAUAACGUUCGGAAACGAACGCUAAUACCGCAUACGUCCUACGGGAGAAAGCAGGGGACCUUCGGGCCUUGCGCUAUCAGAUGAGCCUAGGUCGGAUUAGCUAGUUGGUGAGGUAAUGGCUCACCAAGGCGACGAUCCGUAACUGGUCUGAGAGGAUGAUCAGUCACACUGGAACUGAGACACGGUCCAGACUCCUACGGGAGGCAGCAGUGGGGAAUAUUGGACAAUGGGCGAAAGCCUGAUCCAGCCAUGCCGCGUGUGUGAAGAAGGUCUUCGGAUUGUAAAGCACUUUAAGUUGGGAGGAAGGGCAGUAACCUAAUACGUUGCUGUCUUGACGUUACCGACAGAAUAAGCACCGGCUAACUCUGUGCCAGCAGCCGCGGUAAUACAGAGGGUGCAAGCGUUAAUCGGAAUUACUGGGCGUAAAGCGCGCGUAGGUGGUUCGUUAAGUUGGAUGUGAAAGCCCCGGGCUCAACCUGGGAACUGCAUUCAAAACUGACGAGCUAGAGUAUGGUAGAGG